CUAAAAUAUGAGGGUUGGAGGAUAAACAUUGAAAAUUAGUAAAAUAUGUAACCAAACAAUUCACGAUCUUUCCAGGGCAUCCUCUCAUACAAUGAUUGUUAAUUGAGAUAAGUAUACAAUAGAAACUCAAUAAAGCGAAUCCAUGUACUAAAUGUCAUCGUACAGUCUUCAACAACGAGCAAAAUUCAUAUCAUAGUCCCCGAAAUGAAAAAAUUAAAGAAAAAAAUCCAAAAAAAAACAACAGACUAUGACCAAAACAAUCAACAAAACACUAAUAUUACAGACAGCAACCAACGAC
This 298-nucleotide long non-coding RNA is filed under the name Mytilus galloprovincialis (Mediterranean mussel). The record is from RNAcentral. Lineage: Eukaryota; Metazoa; Mollusca; Bivalvia; Mytilida; Mytilidae.